RNAcentral lists this unclassified non-coding RNA (145 nucleotides) under uncultured Ascomycota. RNAcentral describes it as "sequence contains ITS1". Lineage: Eukaryota; Fungi; Ascomycota. The record is from RNAcentral.
CCGUGGGGCUCCGGCUCCAUUGAGAUAGAACCCUUGUCCUUUAUCGAGUACCGUACGUUUUCCCUGGCGGGUCCGCCCGCCAUCGGGGACAAACCAAACUCUUGCAGUAUAGCAGUUUCUGUCUGAAAAACAAAGCAAUCAAUUA